GCCCGGGAUAAGAACAUUCUUAUUAUAUAGAACAAUUCAUGCUAUUGCAAACAGUAAAUUUUAUCAAAUGAAUAUGAAAGAGAUAUACAUAAAGAAACUGAAGUAUUAACUAAUUACAGAAAACUAAACCCGAAUACAUAACGCCCAGAUAUAAAAGAUCGAAAGUGAAAAAGGCACAAAGCCACACAGCACCGAAGACCAAAAGCUGAAAAGGUCUUGCCACUCUCCCCACUUAUGGAAAAAGAUGUUAUCCCGUUGAAUAUAAGUUAAAUUCCUUAUAUUGCAUUAUGAUACAAUUAACAGGUUUCUUUUCAAUUGUUAUGCAAAUAACUAAGC
RNAcentral lists this long non-coding RNA (336 nucleotides) under Mytilus galloprovincialis (Mediterranean mussel). Lineage: Eukaryota; Metazoa; Mollusca; Bivalvia; Mytilida; Mytilidae. The record is from RNAcentral.